Candoia aspera is the source of this 3580-nucleotide RNA transcript. It is a transcript of the gene named zinc finger protein 24-like, with no coding region annotated. The record is from RefSeq and is a predicted model, not a curated record. The transcript is spliced from 5 exons. Lineage: Eukaryota; Metazoa; Chordata; Lepidosauria; Squamata; Candoiidae.
GUGUGAAAUAAAGAACUUACAAGGUUUGGAAAUAAAAUAUUAAUUUUACUUAAGUUGAAAAGGUACUUAUUCUAUGGCCAGUAUAUUUAAUGAGCAAUGGUAGCACCUGUGCCAGAGUUGGGCCAUUCAUUUUUUCUGACCUAUUUCUAGCUCUGUUUCUGGGCAAAAGCUUAGCAUAACUGCCCAAAUCACUACAUUUACUGGAGAAGGCCUCUUUCCCACCAUCCCACAGUUCAGUGCUAUCUUUGUAAGAGUGCUCAAGGAUGAAAAUGGAGGAGCAAGACCCCACAGGCAAUCCACAAAGGCUGGAAUCCACAGGAGCAGAAAAUGCCUUUAAUAACCUCCAGGAUGCUGUAGAUUGCAAACCCAGCGUGGGGGGAAGAAAUAGCUGUCCUGAAGCCAUUCACUCUGGAAGUAAUGGAGGAUUUUCCACAAGGACAACUUCCCAACAAGUAAAAGAAGAACCAGAAGAGUCUCUGGCCUAUUGCUGGGAAGCCCAGUGGCAAGAGUUUCUGAAAACAGUGGAAUCACCUCCCUCUGGGCUGGAAAUCCUUCAGUUGUCUGAGGCAUCCACACCUUGGAAUGACACCAAAGCUUUUUUAGCCUCCUUUGAGCAAGUGGCCAAAGCCUGUAGGUGGCCCAAAGAAGAAUGGGUGACUCAACUCCUGCCAGCUCUCACUGGAGAAGCUGAGAUGGCCUUCAGCAUGUUGGAAGGCAGAGACAGAGAAGAUUAUGGAAAGGUGAAGGCAGCCCUCUUGCGAGGAGAUGCUGUCAGCAGAGAGAAACAUCGCCAGCACUUCAGGCGUUUCUGCUACUUGGAGGCCAAGGGCCCAAGGGCUGUUUAUGGCCAACUCCAAGAACUUUGCCGGCAAUGGCUGAAGGUUGAGACACACACAAAGGAGCAGAUCUUGGAACUACUGGUCCUGGAGCAGUUCCUGAUGAUCCUGCCCCUGGAGAUCCAGAGUUGGGUGAGGCAGCAUGGCCCAGAAACCUGUGCCCAGGCUGUAAGCCUUGCUGAAGAUUUUCUGUAUAAACAGGAGAUUGAAAGACAAGCAAACCAGGUAGCUUUUGAGAAAGUGGCUGUGAAUUUCUCUGAGGCAGAACGUGCUGCAACUGAUGCUGAACAGAAGCAGCCAUACCGAGCACCCAAGCAGGAGGAUGAGUGUGACGCUGGCCUAUUGGCAGAUAAGGGGUGGAUGACCAUACAUGAGAGAGAGGAAGAUGUGGCCGAAGAUCCUGAGCAAGCAGGGCCUUGUGAGGUGUCCCUGUGGAAAGCAGAAGAGGUUGUUCCUCAGUGUUGUGUGCAGGAAAAGGCCUCAACUAAUCAGGAGAGACUGGAGUGUCAACAGAGCACCUUUGCAGGGGGUGAAGCAGAGGAAUCUGCCCAUUAUGGGGGAGAUUACAAGGCUAUCAUUGUAGCCACAAUCCAGACAGGAACUGACACUGGGCUUUUACUUCCCUAAAUCUGAUGGCCUCUAUGCUUGGAAGGAACUGAAGAAUCAAUGGGCUCUGGCUUGUGGAAGGAAAAAGCUCCCCAGGUAGCUGUUUCAGUAUAUAGUUGGCUUUUUCGUCUCAGAGAUGUAGGGGUCCCUGGGGGUGGGCAGCCAGCAAAUUCCCUAAUUUCUGUUUUAUCUUCAGUACGCAGACACAGCCUUCUACGUUAGUGAAUCAGGAGUGACACCUGAUUUGGGAAAAGUAUAUUUCUUGCAAGGCAAAAAUAUGUACUACUCACAUUUCACUGAGAAGUUGAAUGUGGAGAGGAAAACGGGUGUUGCCCAGAAAAAUACGUCUAGUCAUUCAUUGUCUGCAUUGAAGCAAGACAAGUUAGUUACAUAACUGGACACCUUUCUUAGGUAGAUCAUAUAUUGGUUAUGAUUCAGAUGGGCUGGAUUCACAAAACAUGCUGAGCCCCCCCAACUAACCAAAAUUAACCCUAACCAAGCAUAGCAUAUUGUAUGGAUAUCAUUGUUAGGCUUUUAUCUGAUCCAGGGAAGUGUGUUGUGUGAACACAGCCAAUGUGAGGAAUAAAAUUCAGACAAUGGCAAAUUACUUGCAUCAUUUACUUUGGGAAUUGGCAAUUACAGCAAAUGUAAUAAUAAUAAACACAUUUAGGAGUGCCCUGAAACUUUGCUACUUUGUUUGGUCCUUACUGGAUUUCUGUUUUGAUUCAAGCAGGUGAUGAAUGGGAGACGGAGGAUAAGGGAAGAUUUUAUGAACACCAUCAGAAGGGACGAGAAGCAGGAGGACAUGCUGUAGUUCAGCAAGAAGCGAACUAUGUGGGGAAGAGAGAGAAUAAAUCUUUUAUGAAAACGGAAGAUUGUGUGAACUGUCAGUCAAGUAGAACUAUCAGUGAAGAAAAAUAAGGAGCAUGUGUGUCACACUCAUUUGGGAAUCUUAAGGAAAAAACCAUAUAACCCCUUAGAAUUGGAACAGAGUUUCAGCUGAAUAAAUAGAUCAUUGACACCAGAGAAUCCACACAAGGCAAAAUAAAUGGAUUUUUUUAAUUUAAUUUUUUUGUCACAUUACUGACUCUUAAAAACCACUGAAAUGUCACACUAACAGUAAACUUUAAAAUGCUUUUAGUAUGCAAAGAACUGAAAUUAGAGUGCCAACCUUAUUUCACAUCCAGGAAAUGCACAGUGGGAGAAACAGAUAAAUACAGGGUGCAAAAUUUCUUUCAUUGGGGUUGAUACUAAUCACUCAAGCAGUUGCACUAAGUGUUGGUUGCUUUAAUCUUUGAGAUUAGGUUUCUUCAAAAACAGGCUUGCUGCCACCUCUAGAGUUCUCAAAAUGGUGUUUACAAUUUUGUAAAUCCACUUAGACAUUCCUUACCACUUAGCUAUAAUAAACAACAAAUGGUGACUGUAUGGGUCAUGAAUUGUCUUUCACUAAGAAUCUUGCCCAUGCCUUCCAAUUCAGUAUCUUAAAAUCAUUCAGUAAAUCAGAACACUCUACUAAUGGAACUGUUUUGACACUGGAUUCCAAAUUGACAGAACCAAGUGAUUUCAUUGCAGAGAAUCUUACGAAAUUAUUAUUUCUGAAGUCAGUUUUAAAGACCAGAUAUAAUUAAAAAUUAUACAAUUGUAGAAAAGCUUAUAUGCCUAUAAUAGAACUCUAUUGGCUUUACCAAUAGGAUUGUGUAUUAUAAUGAUUCCAGCAACAGAGAAUAGACACAACUUUCAAAUUAAAUCACAAUGAUUUACACUUCAGACAAAAUAAUAGAGCAUGCUUAUAACAUAGGGCCAAUUAUAUAUAAUGUUUAAAUAUAUGGGAUGUAUUAAACUGCCUUAUGUUCAAACUCUGGUUUCAUUCUUUUUCCUCAGUUCUAAUGAUUGAAGAAGAAACCUGCAUUAAAAAUUAUUUAUUACUUUCUUGGUAGUAAAAUGACAAUUUGUGGGUUCAGCUAUUAUACUUGGGAGUAUUUUCAGAUUAAUACUUUUCUUAAUAACUGAAGUGUUCGGAUUAUAUUUUUCUCUUCUGUAAAUUAAAACUGCAGUUUAAAUUGUACUGGGAAGCUAAUCAGCAGGCAAUGUAAGGCCUGUAACAUAGGUGUGAUAUGAUCCCAACAACAAAUACCAGU